This 76-nucleotide transfer RNA is filed under the name Synergistales bacterium. Its description in RNAcentral is "tRNA-Asn". It matches the Rfam family "tRNA". From Rfam's summary of the family: Transfer RNA (tRNA) molecules are approximately 80 nucleotides in length. Lineage: Bacteria; Thermotogati; Synergistota; Synergistia; Synergistales. The record is from RNAcentral.
UCCGCGGUAGCUCAAUCGGCAGAGCGGGUGACUGUUAAUCACUAGGUUUCAGGUUCGAGUCCUGAUCGCGGAGCCA